This 266-nucleotide ribosomal RNA is filed under the name uncultured bacterium. Its description in RNAcentral is "partial 16S ribosomal RNA". It matches the Rfam family "Bacterial small subunit ribosomal RNA", at positions 793 to 1055 of the family's 1533-position model. The record is from RNAcentral.
GUCCACGCUGUAAACGAUGGGCACUAGGUGUCGCGGGUAUUGACCCCUGCGGUGCCGCAGCUAACGCAUUAAGUGCCCCGCCUGGGGACUACGGCCGCAAGGUUAAAACUCAAAGGAAUUGACGGGGGCCCCGCACAAGCGGUGGAGCAUGUGGUUCAAUUCGACGCAACGCGAAGAACCUUACCCGGGCUAGACAACAGAGGACAGCCUUAGAAAUAAGGUCUUCCCUUCGGGGACCUCUGGUUCAGGUGCUGCAUGGCUGUCGU